RNAcentral lists this ribosomal RNA (500 nucleotides) under uncultured bacterium. RNAcentral's name for it is "partial 16S ribosomal RNA". It matches the Rfam family "Bacterial small subunit ribosomal RNA", at positions 30 to 523 of the family's 1533-position model. The record is from RNAcentral.
AUUGAACGCUGGCGGCAUGCUUUACAUAUGCAAGUCGAACGGCAGCGCGGGCUUCUGCCUGGCGGCGAGUGGCGAACGGGUGAGUAAUAUAUCGGAACGUACCCAAGAGUGGGGGAUAACGUAGCGAAAGUUACGCUAAUACCGCAUACGAUCCAAGGAUGAAAGCAGGGGACCGCAAGGCCUUGUGCUCCUGGAGCGGCGGAUAUCUGAUUAGCUAGUUGGUGAGGUAAGGGCUCACCAAGGCAACGAUCAGUAGCUGGUCUGAGAGGACGACCAGCCACACUGGAACUGAGACACGGUCCAGACUCCUACGGGAGGCAGCAGUGGGGAAUUUUGGACAAUGGGGGCAACCCUGAUCCAGCAAUGCCGCGUGAGUGAAGGAGGCCUUCGGGUUGUAAAGCUCUUUUGUCAGGGAAGAAAAGGCUGUGGCUAAUAUCCACAGCUGCUGACGGUACCUGAAGAAUAAGCACCGGCUAACUACGUGCCAGCAGCCGCGGUAA